UACGGAGGAUGCAAGCGUUAUCCGGAAUGAUUGGGCGUAAAGCGUCCGCAGGUGGCUGUGUAAGUCUGCUGUCAAAGAGCAAAGCUCAACUUUGUAAAGUCAGUGGAAACUACACGGCUAGAGUGCGUUCGGGGCAGAGGGAAUUCCUGGUGUAGCGGUGAAAUGCGUAGAGAUCAGGAAGAACACCGGUGGCGAAGGCGCUCUGCUAGGCCGCAACUGACACUGAGGGACGAAAGCUAGGGGAGCGAAUGGG
Molecule: ribosomal RNA, 253 nt
Filed under: uncultured bacterium
Lineage: Bacteria
Description: partial 16S ribosomal RNA
Rfam family: Bacterial small subunit ribosomal RNA
Source: RNAcentral